UUGAAAGAUUUGUUUAAGCAUAUACACAUUACUUGUUAACUAUUUGAUAUCUAAAUUGUGCUAAAGUUUACAUAAUGGUGGAACAGCAGAGACGUCGCUUAGAGGUUGCCAUAGCCGAUAUGAUUGAAGAUAUGUAUCGCAGUCAUUUGCGACGCAUGCAGUCAAUUAUGCAUCGCUGCGCUGCCAAAUGCUGCGAUGAUGAGCGUGGCAGCUUGGAGUCAGUGCAGAAUUGUAUAGAGAAGUGUGCUUCCCCCUUGAUGGAUGCACAAGAUUUUCUACAGAAUGAGCUGGGACAGUUUCAGAAUCAUUUGCAGCUGUGUGUUAAGGAAUGCAAUAAUGAUGCACGCGGUCGUUUGCCCAGUAAUCCAAGUGAUCGCGAACUUUCACGCUCUAAGAAUUUAUAUGAAAACUGCACGGGCAAUUGUGUGGACAAGCAUAUUAAUCUGAUACCCAGUCUUAUGAAGUCUAUAAAGCGCACUUUGGAUCGUGGUGUGCCGACGCGUGCUCAUCUACGCGAUCAGGAGGAUGUUUAAGACAAGCCCCCAAAAGCUCAAACCAUAACACAUGUUUUCUAUGUACAACGCAAACAGCCAGCUGUAGCACUUGGGGUCAAGGCGUGUUUUUUGAUAAGACUACUUAAUCGGGAGGUGCUCUAUAGAAUUCUCUAGG
RNA transcript from Drosophila busckii, 669 nucleotides. It is a transcript of the gene named protein FAM136A, with no coding region annotated. The record is from RefSeq and is a predicted model, not a curated record. The transcript is spliced from 4 exons. Lineage: Eukaryota; Metazoa; Arthropoda; Insecta; Diptera; Drosophilidae.